Acanthosepion pharaonis is the source of this 114-nucleotide non-coding RNA. Lineage: Eukaryota; Metazoa; Mollusca; Cephalopoda; Sepiida; Sepiidae. The record is from the annotation of a GenBank genome assembly.
UAUGGCCAUAUCUCAUUGAAAACAUCAGUUCCUGUAUGAUCACCAAAGUUGAGCAACAUCAAGCUGGGUCAGUAUCUAGAUGGGUGACCACUUGUGAAUACCAGGUGCUGUAAG